UUUCACUUCUUAUAUCAUAGGCUUUUUUCCAUGUGAUUUAUUGAAAAUGCUUUUUAAUUGUUGCAUAGAAAUUUUUCCUAUGGAAGUGCUAACCUUUAAAUAAUAAAUCCCUUGGUUUGGGGAUAUAUUUUGAUAUGGAAAUGAAUAUUGUUAUGCAUUUAUCUUUGUUUACGAUUCUGACUAUUUUCUUAACAACAAAUGUCCGAAGGUAGGGGCCGGCCCGGUGGCGCAGCAGUUAAGUUCGCACAUUCUGCUUCUCGGCUGCCCAGGGUUCACCAGUUCGGAUCCCGGGUGCUGACAUGGCACAGGGUGUGGACAUGGCACCGCUUGGCACACCAUGAUGGGAUGAAAGGACCGGACCGAGGCUCAGAGAAGUUAAGUAACUUGACCAUGGUCACACAGUCAAUAGGUGGCAAAUGAGGGCUGGAACAACGUCUGUGUGAUCCCAGGACCUGCUUUCCACAGUACAUGCUGCUCUCUUUGAGAGCGGGACCACAGAGCAGAGUGAGUUCUGGGAUAGAUACUCAUUUGAGGGAGAAGUUUUUCCCAUUCUUUCUCAAAAUUUUAUAAAUGCCAAACUUGGAGUGGAAAGAGACAGGGAGGUGAUGAAUGAGCCCUAGCUUCUGCCUUUGAGGGACUACUCACAGUCUAGCUGAAAGAUCAGCUAGUCUCAUAGCUGUGUGUUGCGCUGGGUGUGCUAUGAGGAGGGAGAGCAUGCUUGCGGAACGCCCGUCUUCCCAGAGAACACGAUAUCUGAUCUCUGUCUUGAAAGUUGAGUAAAAGUGACUAUGGGGCAGUUUAGGAGAAGGAACCGCCAGGGUCCUGAGAGGGCUAGAUCCAGCAGAGGAGGAGCUGUCUCGGGGAGAGAAGGCAAUGGACACUGGAGCUGUGAUGCAGUGGGUCGGAGCCAAUUUAUGCAGCAUCCUGGAUACAGGAGCAGAGCCUCUGGAUUGUCCCUGGAGACGUUAAGAAGUCCUGAGAAGUUUUACAGCUGCCGACUCUGAGUGAGUAGCUGAGCGACUGGGAUCCUGGAAAGACACAGCUUGACCGGAAUUGACACAUUUUGCUAGGAAACAGGAUUAUUAUAUCUUUAAUCAGACAACUUUUGGGCUGUUCUCUUUUGGUUAAUCGACUUGUACUUAUGGGUAUCAAUCUUGGACGUUUCACUCAAGUCGACGCAUCCACGUGAUUGCUGAAGUUGCCCAAGGAGGAGCCCUCAACUUUCUGAGUUCUGGCUCCUUCUCAGAGCACACAGGCUUCUCAGGCUACACAGAGAUUUGGGCAACCUUGCCUCUGACCUUGAGGCCAUCUGAGCCUGAUGACCGCUAAGCCUGGCAGGGAACUGGCGAGAGGAGCUGAGCAGCAAGGUCAGCAAAGGUCACCCGAAUGGGAGUGGGCACCUGAACUGAAGGGUCCUGCCCUCGGCUCCAUUCACAAUGGUCAUGGGGGUGUCUGUGUUUGCAAACAGAAGGGGCCUGAGAAGUGAUCUUUUAAAAUUGCAAAUAUUGCUUCAUUUGGUCCUCAUAUUAUCUGCGAAAGAUAAUUGUUAUUAUUAUGCUGACAAUAAAAAUAAAAGAACUGAGACUCACAGAAGUUUCCCGGUCGUGAGCUAACACGUGGUAAACUAGGGCUCAGUUAGCCUGUUUUGCUACUGUGCCUACUCCCAAAUUCUUGAGAAUCCAGAAGAACAAACAUAAUAUACAUUUACUCAUCAAUUCACGACGGGGAUUUGUUCUGAGAAAUGUGUCAUUAGGCGACGUCGUCAUUGUGCAAACAUCAUAGAGUGUGCGUACAAAACUUAGAUGGUACAGCCUACUGCACACCCAGGCUCUAUGGUACUAAUCUUAUGGGAGCACCAUCACACGUGCGGUCCGUCAUUGACUAAAACGUCAUCAUGCGGUGCAUGACUGUAGUCUGAAUUACGUUUUAAUGAUUUUCUCUUUCUCUUUCUCUUCUCACCGUGGCACAGUCAUUAACAGGAUUCAGGUUAAAAGGAAGUGGGAGGUGGGGCUGGCCCUGUGGCUUAGCGGUUAAGUUCAGCACUCUAGAUCUUGUCUGAAAAAGGCGUCUCUCCUCCCAAAACAACUUUGAGAAAUGCCUGAUCCAGAAGACUGUUCGGGCUACCUAAACUGGUCCUUUCAUUUGUCUUUCUCUUCUUUUACCCAGACUCAUAAGCAGCAGACUCCUACCCAGCUGUGGUAAGUUGAGCUCCUAUACCCUGAGGAGCAGCGUGUAAACACUGAUGGAGGUAGAAAGAGGUGAACAUUGAGUGGUGACAAAGAUGGCGGAGGACAAGCAGAACAGGAGCUGUGCUCUUCAUGCAGGUGCUUGGAGAAAACAAGUCAUGUCCCCAACCUCAAAGUGGCAUUGCUGUCAGGGAAGAAGCCUGUGCAAUGAGUGGGACGGGCUGAUGGAAUCUCUUAGAGGACCCUGCAAAGCUUGGGUUCUGCUGGAUCCACUGCCUCAUUUCAUUCUGGUCUCUGCUCAUCGUCACCUCCACAGAGAGCCCACUCCUGACAUGCCAUCUCCAACACCUCCCCUUAGUCUCCCAGCCCUUGCUCUGCUGCAGAUUUUCCUUACUUCCUUUUAUCUCUGCCUGAAUUAUAUUAUCUAUUGGUGUGUUUUUUAUUUGUUUAUGGUCUGUCUCCCUGCACUAGAAUGUAAGCCCGGUGAGGACAGGUGCUCUGUUUCUAGGAUGCACCUCUGUUUCCCCAUAGACACUCAAUUCCAUUUGUUAUCGAGUGGACGAUUAUGUGAAUUCCAUAUCUUGGGCUUCUCCUGAAAAGAUCUAAAGCUCUACAACUCUGCUUUUCAGAAAAGAUUUGGAACAGAUCAUGGUCUAUGGAGUUUUUUUCUUCUUUGCUAAAUUAAGCUAAAAAUGACUUUUCCUCCCAGGAUUAAGUUCACGCCAUGCCUCUAUGUUCACCACUAACGGGGAGACAGAAAUCCUUAGUACCUGUGAGGGUAAUUUUGACUUACAUUUGUAAAUUUCCUAAGGAAAUUGCCUGAUAUUCUCAGACACCGUAAAGCCUCACUUAGUAGCUUUCAUGAAUUUGUAAUGGUAUGGGCAGAAUUUGGCUUGAAGUAUAUUUUCUCUUUUGUUUUCUGAAAUAAGGUUUUGCCGUGUCAAGUAAUAGUCUGAACAAGAUUGCAUGGGAACUGCUAAACUGAUUAACAAAAUAAUUUCUUAUCCAAGUUUUUCUAGAGUAUUCAGCCACACGAAUACACCCGUGCUCCAAUGGUUUUAAUGACUCAUCUCUAUUGAAUGGAACAGGUGAAAUAGAACCUUGAAUUCAAAUGCUAACUUUGGGUCUCGUUUGAACCUUACAACAAACGAUAAAAUUUUGCAGAGACCAGGACACAAAAUUUGUGUACUCCAUUUUUGGCAACAAACAUUAAGAAACAAUUAAUAAAAUAGAUGCGUUCAAAGAAAGUCCCCUUGAUAGUUGAGCCCUAGGUUGUGCCUCGAAAUUCCUGUUUUUUUCAUUUGCUCAUCUAGAAGGUGAUAAUGCCACCAUUGUUAGGCAACCGCAUCUAGUUCCUAAGCCAGUCCUGACUAGGGCCAGAGGCAUAUUAGCAUCAUUGUUCCCACCAGUAAAACAUAAUUAAAAUAAUAAUACUUGCCGUUUCCUGAAUGCUUACUACAUGCCACAUAGUAUGAACUUAAAUAGGAUUUCCUUUAGUCUUCUUGAUCAAGCCCAUGAGUUAGGCAUUGUGUCAUUUUACAAAUGGGGAAACUGAGGCUCAAAGAAGUUAAUUAAUUUAUGCCCCAAAGUCCCACAGCUAGUAAGCAGCAAAGCCAGGAUUUAGAACCAAUGCUUUUAACCCUCAAGUCACUGCUCUUAUCCAGCGCACCAACGACAGAUGGCCUUUGGUGCCGUACACUCAGCCUCGGUGCACUGAAUAAGUCCCGUGUGCCCUGCCAUCCUCCAAGGCUCUUCCCUCCAGCACUCCUGUGGCUGUUGCAGUCCACAGGGCUGGAGCUCUGCCUUGGUUUCUCUUCCUAGCCCUCUAGUUAUUUCCAGUAACAGCCUACUGUUCCUGGCCCAAUGUAUGACUGAUAUUUGGCAUGUUCUCCUUCGUAUGGCAACUCCCAGGGACAUACUCCAGCCCACUGAUGAGAACUCUUUGAUUCUCUUGCCUGUCAGAAUCACAUCUGAGCUUGCUCAGUCCUUUAAUAUUGCUUUUCAUCGCCUUCUCCAGGCUCUAUAGACAACAUAGUUUUCCCUAGUCCCAUCCUAAUGACCAUGGC
RNAcentral lists this long non-coding RNA (4252 nucleotides) under Equus caballus (horse). RNAcentral describes it as "lncRNA (ENSECAG00000047739.1)". Lineage: Eukaryota; Metazoa; Chordata; Mammalia; Perissodactyla; Equidae. The record is from RNAcentral.